GCAAUGACAUAUCCUUACUGGAAUCAACUUCUUUAUUUUUUCCUAAAUUUUGUAUCUGUCUUGGUCUCAGCUAUAUCCUUGUCUCUCUCUGAAUUUCUUGUAUAUAUCACCACUGUAAAAUUUCCUUGUCCUCACCACCAAAAUUAGUGAAACAAAAGCACCAAAUAAAGCAGCAGAAGCCAAAAUUAUAAACGGUUUCCUGUAACAUUCAACUCCAAUGCAAACCAAUUCCUUCACUGCUGAUCUAUCCAGACCCUUGGCUCUUAGCUGUUUUGUUGCCUCAUUAUCAUAUAAAAUUCCAGUGACCUGCACAUUCAGUAUGUAUGAACCAAGAGGACUUGCCAAUUGCCCACAGUUGAACAAUGUGGAGUAGUACUUUAGGCCAAAGAGCUCAGAAAUUAUGGCAAAAAGCAAAGGCAAUUGUGCACCAAAUGAGAAUCCCAUAAUCACCGAGGCAAUAUAGACUGAAUUGGGGAAAGGGAAGGCAAUGAUAAGGUGGCCUAUGCAGGAAAGGAGGAGGACAAAGGUCAUCAUCAAUGGCCUAGGGGUUUUGUACUUGACUAGCAUGGUUUCAGAGACAAAUCCAGCAAAGACCCUUCCAAAAUAAUUCCAUAUACUCACUAGGGAAACAAAGGAAUUGACUGUUUUAGUUGGAUAUCCUAGUGACUCACCAAUUUGACCCAAGUUGUCCACUGCUGUUAAGCUUGCACCAAGCCCGCAAAGUGUUGCAGCAAACAGGAUUAGCAUGUCAAUGCUAAGAAGUGCUUGUAAGAUGGUGUAGUCUUCACCUCUCUCUGGCUUGUCAAAUAUGGUGAGGAAGCAAGAUCUUUGAGCUUUCUCUUUUUCCUCUUUUGAGACACUAGACUUCACUGAUCCCUCAUCCUCUGAUGCAAUUUCACUUGGCUUCUGUAUGGUUAGUUCAGUAGGAGGCUUCAUUGCAUCCUCUUUCUUGAGGUUCCAUUGGACCCAUUCUUCUCUAAUGGCAAUUAGGAGAGGGACAAAAAGCAAAACACAAACCACAGUAGCACUUGCAGC
RNAcentral lists this unclassified non-coding RNA (1035 nucleotides) under Hevea brasiliensis (rubber tree). Lineage: Eukaryota; Viridiplantae; Streptophyta; Magnoliopsida; Malpighiales; Euphorbiaceae. The record is from RNAcentral.